CUCAAUCCAGAAUGCUCUUUAGAUUCGUCAUUGCCUGGAUAAACUCUGCUCAUCUUUAAGACUCAGCUCAGGAUUCAUCUGCUCCUCCAGGCAGCCUUCCUUCAACCCCCAGGCUGCAAGACACGCGCCCCUCUGUGUUGCCAGAGCACCGUGUUUUAAUCUCCAUUGUGUCACCUUAGACCAGUGCUGUCCAAUAGAAAUAUAACAGGAGCCAGUGAAGCACAUAUGCAGAUCCGGAGACUAGAAUACUCUAACAGCUAUACUGAGACCUAAAGAGAAAAGACCAGGUGAGGAAACAAUGAGAAGACAGUGUCCUGUCCAUAUGACAGCACCCACAUACAAGCAGUA
This 348-nucleotide long non-coding RNA is filed under the name Equus caballus (horse). Its description in RNAcentral is "lncRNA (ENSECAG00000046744.1)". The record is from RNAcentral. Lineage: Eukaryota; Metazoa; Chordata; Mammalia; Perissodactyla; Equidae.